RNAcentral lists this long non-coding RNA (1696 nucleotides) under Phaseolus vulgaris (common bean). Its description in RNAcentral is "long non-coding RNA (PVUL_LNC002024)". Lineage: Eukaryota; Viridiplantae; Streptophyta; Magnoliopsida; Fabales; Fabaceae. The record is from RNAcentral.
GGGAAGUAGUUUCUGAUGGUUCAGCGUUGGACUCUGAUUCAGCUACAGGAACUUCACUUUUAACAGUUCCAACCUUAACGUACUUGCUCAUGAACUUAUAUUCCCAGUCUUGUAAAGCAUCAAGCUCAAAUGGGCCAAGGCCAGAAAUAUCCCCAGUCAGAUCUUUAUCUUCAAAAGACAUCUUUGCUAAAGCCCUGCUAGCAUCCUUGCCAGCAAACAGCGCAUAAGGUCCGCCAGGUCCAUAAAACAUCCUGAUAUUAAGCAGUGGUGUUAAAACCCAAUUAAAGCAUAUUAAGGAACAAAAAAAACAUCAUCACAUACAUAUUUCAUUCUUGCCUGACACAAAAUGAACUAUGUUGUCAAGCAAAAUCAUGUAUCACUUUUGGUUUUGUUAAUUAAAAGCAUAUACUCUCUUAAAGAAGGCCAGGGUUCAUAGUUUUAGGACUCGAGAAAGUUUGGCUGAGCAAAAGUAGCUAGGAGCAGACAAAACAGAAAAAUUAUAGCAGAAACAAACAAGGCUUGCAGUGGUAAGAAUUAAUUGAAAAUGCAAUGUGGACAAAAUAUUCCCAUCAGAGUAAAAAAAAGGGCAAAUUUCAGCAGAAAUAAGUUAGGUAGCGAAUGACGAUGCUUUUCACUGAAUCUCCAUAAUUCAGCUCCACAAAACAGCAUCUCAAAAGAAAUGGCUGAUGUUAGAUAACUCGGCUCCUCAAUGCAGCAUCUUAGUCCAACUCAAACAAUGUUAAGCCCAAUCAAAAUAAAGAUCACAGUGAGAAUUACAUUUUUUCAACCUUGAGAUGGGUGAACGUGUACACAAAUAUGUAGUGGGACUAAGAAGUAAACACUGAACAAAGCAACCAGUAAAAUUAAUGACAAUAGGGAUGACGGAAAACAAUCUGAACAAUACCUUCCACAAGACAAAAGUUUCUAUAAAUCCAUGUUCAACCUUUGAAAUCCAACCUUCUAAUUUUCUACUUAAACCAUGUAGUUUGCAGGUUUGUUAUAUGUCGUUAUAUAAUCAAUUCUCAAACUUUCCAAUAAACAACGGACACAAAAACACACUUUAGACUCUGCAUUCUAAUCAGGUACAGUUAAAAACCAGCUCUACUCAACUUUAAAUCAAACAGGUCCUCAAUAAUACGAGGAACAUGUUAUCUUCUCAUCACAUGUCACAGUAACAACAAAAAGAGCCCGCGUACAAAAAGCAAAAUCUGACCUUUGCAAAAGCAAAAGUACCCCCAAAUUCACAAAUUCUUAAUACACCGAUCAUUAACACAAAAGGGCAUCCGAAAAUGCACAAAUAGGAAAGUUUUAGAGAAAAUCAAUGCAUGAUACCAAAACAAUAAUUGAACAACGUUAACCUAAAAAAGCUUACUUGGAAGGCAUUCACUAUUAACAGAAAAUUAAUAAAAUACCCAAAAUAAGCAUAGACCAUGAAAAUGAAACAAAAUAAUACAGAAGAACAAAUUAAGAAGAAAUGGGUGGGUUUUGUGCGACGGUAAACCUGCUCUGGGAGACAUCGUAGAUCUGGGCCUUGAUGGCCAUAAGCAAGGGUUUAUCGGGAUCGUUGCCGUCGUAGGCUUUGAGCUCCUCAGCCGUGAUCUCACCGAGCUGGACCGGCGGCCGCAGAGGCGGCAUCUCCUCCUCCUCGAUGUGGCGGGGGCGGUGGCGGUCGGGUGGAGCCCCAAAGAGACCCGAA